UACGGAGGGUGCAAGCGUUAAUCGGAAUUACUGGGCGUAAAGCGCACGCAGGCGGUCGUAUAAGCUAGAAGUGAAAGCCCUGGGCUCAACCUGGGAAGGCCUUUUAGAACUGUACGACUAGAGUCUUGGAGAGGGGAGUGGAAUUCCAUGUGUAGCGGUGAAAUGCGUAGAUAUGUGGAGGAACAUCAGUGGCGAAGGCGACUCCCUGGCCAAAGACUGACGCUCAUGUGCGAAAGUGUGGGUAGCGAACAGG
RNAcentral lists this ribosomal RNA (253 nucleotides) under uncultured bacterium. RNAcentral's name for it is "partial 16S ribosomal RNA". It matches the Rfam family "Bacterial small subunit ribosomal RNA", at positions 524 to 776 of the family's 1533-position model. The record is from RNAcentral.